AUCCUUUUCUGGUUCAUAAACAUUAUGAUCCAGUGUUCGCAUGUUUGUCUGACAUGUGCCUCCCUUAAAUCUUGAUACAUAGUUGAUACAUUACUCAUCUGAUG
This is a small nucleolar RNA of Sorex fumeus (smoky shrew), 104 nucleotides long. RefSeq annotates it as small nucleolar RNA U13. NCBI's taxonomy places the organism in Eukaryota, Metazoa, Chordata, Mammalia, Eulipotyphla, Soricidae. The transcript has a single exon. The record is from RefSeq and is a predicted model, not a curated record.